RNAcentral lists this long non-coding RNA (243 nucleotides) under Mytilus galloprovincialis (Mediterranean mussel). Lineage: Eukaryota; Metazoa; Mollusca; Bivalvia; Mytilida; Mytilidae. The record is from RNAcentral.
AACAGGGCCACAUUUAAAAGAAUGUCUGUUUCCCCUCCCCCAGGUCUACCCUUUGUAAACAGACCAGGAAAGCAGGUUCUUUUUUUUUUUUUUUUUUUUUACUGGAUGUGAUUGUCAUAGCAUGGUCACAUGAAUGGUUUGACUUGUCCAGUCCAGGCCACUUAUCAGUUGUUUGUGCUCAAUUUGAGUGUAUUUAUUUAGAUUAUCAAUCCUUCUGCUUUCAAGCACUUUCCAAAAAUGGAA